RNAcentral lists this transfer RNA (64 nucleotides) under Sphaeroderma rubidum. Its description in RNAcentral is "tRNA-His". RNAcentral also lists the same sequence under 1 other name. Lineage: Eukaryota; Metazoa; Arthropoda; Insecta; Coleoptera; Chrysomelidae. The record is from RNAcentral.
AUCUAAAUAGUUUAAUAAAAAUAUUGAUUUGUGGUAUCAAAGUUAUAUUCUUUUAUUUUAGAUU